UCAGGGGGCNAGACGAUCGCUGCCAAACAUACUUUGGUGGAGGAAAGUCCGAACUCCACCGGACAGGGCGCCGGCUAACAGCCGGGCGGCGCAAGCCGACGGAAAGUGUCACAGAAAUAUACCGCCGUUUAACGGUAAGGGUGAAAUGGUGCGGUAAGANCGCACCGGCNUAUUGGUAACAUUGCGGCCAGACAAACCCCGCUCGGAGCAAGGCCAAAUAGGAGGUUUCGNGUGUCCGGCUCUAGCCUCGGGUAGGCCGCAUGAGGUGNCAAGUAAUUGUCACCCCAGAUGGAUGAUCGUCCGUUCUCGGUAGUAGGCUCACCGAGUAGACAGAAUUCGGCUUAUCGGCCCCCUGACCGC
This 360-nucleotide RNase P RNA is filed under the name Chloroflexota bacterium. RNAcentral's name for it is "RNase P RNA component class A". It matches the Rfam family "Bacterial RNase P class A". Rfam says of the family: Ribonuclease P (RNase P) is a ubiquitous endoribonuclease, found in archaea, bacteria and eukarya as well as chloroplasts and mitochondria. Its best characterised activity is the generation of mature 5'-ends of tRNAs by cleaving the 5'-leader elements of precursor-tRNAs. Cellular RNase Ps are ribonucleoproteins. Lineage: Bacteria; Bacillati; Chloroflexota. The record is from RNAcentral.